RNAcentral lists this long non-coding RNA (511 nucleotides) under Physcomitrium patens. RNAcentral describes it as "long non-coding RNA (PPAT_LNC000634)". Lineage: Eukaryota; Viridiplantae; Streptophyta; Bryopsida; Funariales; Funariaceae. The record is from RNAcentral.
AGCAUGUUCAUAUAGAACAUAAUAUGUCAACUCAAUCCCUAUUGUAGUACAAUAGUCUUUAAAAAACUUUGAUGCAAAUUCUUUUGCAUUAUCCAUACACAAUAUUUUGAUAGGAUAAUCAAAAAAAUAUGCUAAAAUAUGAAUAAGUAUAGAUAUAAGAUUGGCAAAUACCAUGCUUUGGAUUGAUAAUUAUAAAACAUGUGAUUGUUUGCCUGAUGCAUCAACAAGGACCAAAAAAUAAUGAAAUGGUCCAAAUAUUGGAUUAAUAGGACCACAAAUAUCAUUGUGCACCAUUUUAAGUAUUAGUGGUAACUCUCAUUUGAAAUUGAAGGCUAAGCAAUCAUCUUGAGAAAUGCGACUUCAUAUGAUAGAUGAUAUAAACUUAAGUAUAAUGAGAGCCCAAAUUACAAUCCAAUAUAAACCAUUUAUUAUAGCAAAGGCUUUUUCAACAACUUCAUGAUUCUAUUGAAGAACCAAAUCAUCUAGCCUAUCUAAAAUUGUGAUUGAGAGG